GACGAACCGUGCGAACGUUGUUCGGAAUCACUGGGCUUAAAGGGCGCGUAGGCGGGCUGUCAAGUCUGGGGUGAAAUCCCACGGCUCAACCGUGGAACUGCCUCGGAUACUGACGGCCUCGAGGGAGGUAGGGGCGUGCGGAACUGUGGGUGGAGCGGUGAAAUGCGUAGAGAUCCGGAGGAACACCAAAGGCGAAGGCAGUGUCCUGGGGAGUACCUGACGCUCAGGUGCGAAAGCCAGGGGAGCGAACGGG
Molecule: ribosomal RNA, 253 nt
Filed under: uncultured bacterium
Lineage: Bacteria
Description: partial 16S ribosomal RNA
Rfam family: Bacterial small subunit ribosomal RNA
Source: RNAcentral